UACGAAGGGUGCAAGCGUUAAUCGGAAUUACUGGGCGUAAAGCGCGCGUAGGUGGUUCGUUAAGUUAGGAGUGAAAGCCCCGGGCUCAACCUGGGAAUUGCUUCUAAAACUGGCAAGCUAGAGUAUGGUAGAGGGUGGUGGAAUUUCCUGUGUAGCGGUGAAAUGCGUAGAUAUAGGAAGGAACAUCAGUGGCGAAGGCGACCACCUGGACUGAUACUGACACUGAGGUGCGAAAGCGUGGGGAGCAAACAGGAUUAGAUACCCGGGUAGUCCCUGAG
RNAcentral lists this ribosomal RNA (278 nucleotides) under uncultured prokaryote. RNAcentral describes it as "partial 16S ribosomal RNA". It matches the Rfam family "Bacterial small subunit ribosomal RNA", at positions 524 to 801 of the family's 1533-position model. The record is from RNAcentral.